RNAcentral lists this small nuclear RNA (128 nucleotides) under Rhinolophus ferrumequinum (greater horseshoe bat). RNAcentral describes it as "U4 spliceosomal RNA (ENSRFEG00010009135.1)". It matches the Rfam family "U4 spliceosomal RNA". Rfam says of the family: U4 small nuclear RNA (U4 snRNA) is a component of the major U2-dependent spliceosome. The structure of U4 snRNA from yeast and human has been reported. The record is from RNAcentral. Lineage: Eukaryota; Metazoa; Chordata; Mammalia; Chiroptera; Rhinolophidae.
AGCUUUGCGCAGUGGCAGUAUCGUAGCCAAUGAGGUUUAUCCGAAGCACAGUUAUUGCUAAUUAAAAGUACUGUAAAUAUACUUUUUGUACAUUUUUAUAUAAUAAAAUUUAAAUUAAAAGCACCAAU